ACUCAUUCUACCAGCUUCUAUUGAAUCUACAGCAAACAUUUACUUUUCCGCUUACUAUUGAGCUGACAUAUCUCAUGGUUGAAGAAUUGGACUUCCCAAAGAGAUGCUACGUUUACACAGUAAAGGACCACAUUAAGAGAGGAUGUGCAACGGGGUUUCAUCUGCAUUACUACAGAAUCUACACGAUUGGCAUCGCGCGCGAGUAUAGCGUGUAGAUUGCAUGUAGAACGCUAUCUUUGACUUUGAGGCCUAGGAUUGAGGUGUUUGUUUAAUCUGCAGUACCCCGUCAGUGUCCUAGUUAAAAUUCGUAAGUUCUCCCUACUGUACCUACGUAAGUCCCCUGGCUUAAAAAGGCUGCGCGAGAGGCACUGGGCCUCUCGCGCAGCCUUCUUGUUGAAGGCCUGGAUUAGGUAAGCCUGGACGAACAGUUUACGAAGCAUCCUUACACAAACAAUAAAUUCAAGCUCUAAAGGUGGAUGCAUCCCUAUUUACGAUAAUUUAUUUUUAUACAGUUAAUUAUUUAUAACUUUUUAUGAAAUGUUUAUAUCAUUCAAAGAGGACUCAUAAUAUAUUGGAUGCAGCACCUUACAAACUAAUUUGUUAUGUAUAUAACAGCCAUUGUAAAUUCCUCUAUUCGAUUGAAAGGAGUGGCCGUUGAGUUUCUUGUACCUUCUUAUGUUCUUCUCACAAGCUCAACUUUUUACGAACAUAUGGUAAGCUAAUGACGAUUCAAAAGAGGUUUGUUAAAACCUAAUUGAAUUUGAAGUUUAUUUGACUUUGAUUUUGAACAGUUGCUCCACAGUUUAUUACACUAAUGUGAACAUUAAACAAGACUAAUUGGUGCACCACAAAAGGGUUUAACCAAAUUGAGUGCUUUUGCACCAAUUCUUGCAAGUUCGUUAGUGCAUUCAAUGCCUUCGAUCCCUGCAAAUUCCGGAACUCAUCCGAAGUGUAACUCUGUUUAUUUCUCCCAGAGUAUCCAAAAUAGUCCAGCAGAUGUGUACAAGUCCUGAGACUGUUCUGAUAUAAAAACACUUGCCGAUGUAACCUUUAUUCAGAACGAUUUCCGCACAUUCUACUAUUACGUAUGGUACCUUCGCCUGAAAAACGGGGACAAGGUUCCCCAAGUUGACAGAUUCGAUAAAUUUGGGGGACUCUCCGUAGAUUUCACAGCCGACGAUUUCAGAUCCCGACUCGGAUCCAUAGGUAUACCCUUUAAGGCCAGUUUUUCCAAGUAAAUCAGUUGUUUAGCCAGUCCUCUAAUCCUACUUUCUCGAUCAUUUGUUGUCUCUGAGCCUCAGUGUAUCUGAGGUAUCAAGAGUGAUAUAUAAAAACAUCUUCAAUGAAUUAUGUACUUGUUUUCUACUGCAUAAAACACUUAUUAUUGUAGUGUCCGUUAGUUUAUUACAUAUUAAUACAAUUGAAUUAUAAUAAUAUUAAAAGUAUGAAUCCAAUUCAAAUGAUGAUUAAUUAAUCUGUAUGCGUAACGAGGGCCAUGUUGGCCUUUACCCACUCUAGCCACUUACGGAGCCUAAUUGUCUCAGUAUUUAUUGCUAUAUGUCGUUGUUAGAAUGACGCGAGAUCUCGAAGUGAAACAUUAACACAAAAAUUAGCAAAUGCGCUGUUUUUUUUUUGUAAAAAUAAUAGCGGACAGUAAAAAAGAUGUCUUUCGACGUGUAAGCACAAUUUUUCAACUAUGGUAUUGUUAGUUAGUCGUAAAGAUUUCUCACGUGCGUACGUAAACAAAUAUUACCUAAUACGUCAUUUUAAAAGUACUCAUUGAUCAUAUACAUGCUUCAGAGAUGAUGCAUAAAUAAUUAUUAAUUCCCUUGUCAUUUUUACUCAGUUAAAAAUAGUUAGAAGCACUACUGUCAUUAUUUGACAAUUUUAGUCACCCUCAACUCGGAUAAAUUGGUCGAUCAAUAUGAUACCAUAAUAAUAUAUUCUUCUUGUAUUUCGUAUCCAAUGGUUAAUUCGUCUAAAAUAUUUUAAUAUUGACACACACUUCUUAGUUUAUACAAUUUUUUUUUUUUAUAUAUUUAUUUAAAACUUUACAUAUUUAUAUAAAUAAAGCAGCAACCAAAAAUCACGAAGAUUUGUCCGGAUUGCUAACAUGAGUUGAGUUCGCAAUGAUAAUUAAAAUAAGAUCAGAAAAAACUUAAGUAAGUACAUACACAAGGUUUACAAGCAAAGCAUCAUUAGAUCAGGUUCGCAUUCAACCGGUCAUCGUUGAUUCAUAUCUCUAUGCGAAAGCGGGACACUGCUAUCUUUCGAUCGCGCUAUUCCGUCGCACACACACAGCGAUAUGUCUAUUCGCUCGGCCGGUGGGCGGUGACAAAGAACCCGAUGUUUGACCCACUUAGAAUGUAAGCUACAGGAUGUUCAAAAAUUGCAAUUUUAACUUAUCUCUAAUAUUUUUUCUGGUGAUGCUAAUUUUUACAGAUGGAUCAAUAUCAUUUAAUAGCCGAGGAACCAAAUAUUGUGUUCACAGACACUUCGUAUAUGAAAAUAAAGCAAAGAUUAAUUUUAGCUUAUUUAUUAUAUACAUGUAAAUAAUUUUUUUUAAACAAUAUAUACUCAAUUUGAUUUUUUUUUUCAAUUAUAUAUUUUCGAGCUCAUACGAUAGACACAUUUCAUCUGAAACAAAAAACAAUAUUAAACAUUGAAAAAUAUUCGCGGAAAAUAAAUCAAACUGUAUAUCCAACAGCUCGGUUACAAUAAAACCACAGACCUCUACUACAUACCACUGGACUGGCGGCUGUCAAAGAGCUUUUGUGCCUGUUUGAUAUUCGCCAUUAUGGUGCUGUUGACCAUGUUGCGAGAGUCUGUGGUACUAAAACUAGUAAUGACAACCUGAGCAAACAUAGAUAGGUGGUAAACUAUUUACAAAAAAAAAUGUGUACUUUAUUGAGUUGAUUCUUGAAGUAUAAAUAACUCGGAAAACGAACGCAAUUAAUUCAAAAUGCAAAAAUACUUCAGAGUAUUGUAUGUUCCUUCGCAGACAUUUGUAUUAUACGUCAAAAUUAGUUCUCUGGACGCUCGCGAGUGGCGCUUCAAAUAGUCACAAAAAAGAACAAUGGCGAAGUUUCAUACUACAAAAUACUUGAAAUUGAAUGGAAACGUCUCAAGAACUGACGUGUACUAAUUAAUUCUCUAUAAUUUUCUUCGUCUACUGACAUUAUUCAUUUUUAAUUUGGAACCGGAAUAAUGGAGAAAUAAAUGAUUAUUUUGUUUUAGUUUU
Long non-coding RNA from Leptidea sinapis, 3241 nucleotides. RefSeq lists it as uncharacterized. The transcript has 2 exons. The record is from RefSeq and is a predicted model, not a curated record. NCBI's taxonomy places the organism in Eukaryota, Metazoa, Arthropoda, Insecta, Lepidoptera, Pieridae.